RNAcentral lists this ribosomal RNA (497 nucleotides) under uncultured bacterium. RNAcentral's name for it is "partial 16S ribosomal RNA". It matches the Rfam family "Bacterial small subunit ribosomal RNA", at positions 28 to 507 of the family's 1533-position model. The record is from RNAcentral.
GAUGAACGCUGGCGGCGUGCCUAAUACAUGCAAGUCGAGCGAACAGACGAGGAGCUUGCUCCUCUGACGUUAGCGGCGGACGGGUGAGUAACACGUGGAUAACCUACCUAUAAGACUGGGAUAACUUCGGGAAACCGGAGCUAAUACCGGAUAAUAUAUUGAACCGCAUGGUUCAAUAGUGAAAGACGGUUUUGCUGUCACUUAUAGAUGGAUCCGCGCCGCAUUAGCUAGUUGGUAAGGUAACGGCUUACCAAGGCGACGAUGCGUAGCCGACCGGAGAGGGUGAUCGGCCACACGGGAACUGAGACACGGUCCAGACUCCUACGGGAGGCAGCAGUAGGGAAUCUUCCGCAAUGGGGGAAAGCCUGACGGAGCAACGCCGCGUGAGUGAUGAAGGUCUUCGGAUCGUAAAACUCUGUUAUUAGGGAAGAACAAAUGUGUAAGUAACUAUGCACGUCUUGACGGUACCUAAUCAGAAAGCCACGGCUAACUACGUG